This is a long non-coding RNA of Octopus sinensis (East Asian common octopus), 158 nucleotides long. RefSeq lists it as uncharacterized. Lineage: Eukaryota; Metazoa; Mollusca; Cephalopoda; Octopoda; Octopodidae. The transcript has 3 exons. The record is from RefSeq and is a predicted model, not a curated record.
CUUCAUGUCUGAAGCUCUGAUGAAGCCAUAGGGUAAAGCUCAAGCAUUCAACUAUGAGUGCAUUGCAUCUUAUAGCAGAAACAACUGUAAGCCAAUGAAGUUCAUAACAUAAUUGCUCAUUCCUUUGUCAUUCUAAUGUCUUUACACACACACAUACA